This 550-nucleotide long non-coding RNA is filed under the name Lotus japonicus. RNAcentral describes it as "long non-coding RNA (LJAP_LNC000528)". The record is from RNAcentral. Lineage: Eukaryota; Viridiplantae; Streptophyta; Magnoliopsida; Fabales; Fabaceae.
GGUCAAAACAGAGCACCUAAACCAAACCAAACCAAACAGGUGCAAAAUAGAGCACCUAAAAGAAACCAAACCUGACUAACGAUGAGAGACGGCACAAAGAACGUCCAAACAGGGUCAAAACAGAAGACCCACAAACCAAAAGUGGCCAAAACAGAAAGAGGAAGGCCGGCCGGUCACAACCGUGGCAGAACGGCGCCGGAAAACUGGCUGUAAGGCCGCGCGUGGAUCCCACGCGCCGGUGAACCUGCGGAAGUGUGGCAGCGCGUGAAGGCGCGUGGAGGUCUGUUUGGCGGCGGUACUCCGGCAGAUGGUGGAUCGGCGGCCUCUGGCUUGAUUCCGGGUGGCUGUGUCGUCACUUGACAAGCUUGAAAAAUAUGGGUCAGCAGCACUUGCGGCUGUAACCCAGAACCAGAAAAAAAAGAAUGCUCAAGGGAAAACUAGGGCUCUAGAUACCAUGUUGAAUCUGAUAAAAUAUUUCUUGUGUCUUAUUCAUUGAUAAACUUGUACAAUAUAUAUAGAUGUUAAAAGAUAUCAAAACUAUAUCUAUCUA